ACUGGAGCCCCGAACACUGGUGGGAAAGUCCCUGAGUGCAUGCCCUCGUGUCUUCUAGAUCAUGCUCAGAAGUAGACUCGCGGGGCGUGUGAAGAUCUUCUAUGUACUUAACUUUCUAAGGAGCCGCCAAGCUGUCGCAGUAGCUUCAUUACUUCACAUUCUUACGAGCAAGCUUCACCAAGCGUUGAAAGUCAAAGUUUAAUUCUUGAAACUUUCCUGAGAGUAGGAAGGGGUAACUCUCUGUAUGACAGGCAGCAAAAUGUGACAUGAAACACGAUUUAUAAAUGAGCAGAGACUGAGCUGAAGAUUCACACCCUCCCUCAUAAGCACUAAGACCCCGGGCGAGCUCUCUAAGGUGGAGAGAUAAUGGAAAAUAUUCUGGAAGACAAAGAGGAAAAACUCUUGAAGACAUAGGUAUAGGCAAGAACUUUCUGAACAGAAUCUGAAUUACCGAAAAAUAACAUCAAGAAUCAACUAAUAGGGUCAUAUCAAAUUAAAAAGUUUCUGCACAAUAAAGGAAACAACCAACAGAGUAAUGGGACAAUCUACAGAAUGGUAAAAAAAAGUCAGCUAUCUUCUCCAGAGGAAUAACAUCUAGACUUCAUAAAGAAUUAAAGGUAUUAGUUUUAGCCCCCAAAUAAAAGAGCCAAUUGAAAAAUGGGCAACUGAAAUGAACAAACAUAAUUUGGAAGAAGAAGUACAAUAGUCAAUAAAUAAAUGUAUGAAAAAAUGUUCAACAUCUCUGGCCAUUAGGGAAAUGGAAAUUAAAACAUUGAGUUUCCAUAUUA
Molecule: long non-coding RNA, 788 nt
Organism: Heterocephalus glaber (naked mole-rat)
Lineage: Eukaryota; Metazoa; Chordata; Mammalia; Rodentia; Bathyergidae
Source: RefSeq, a predicted model, not a curated record